GACGAACGCUGGCGGCGUGCUUAACACAUGCAAGUCGAACGGAAAGGCCCUGCUUUUGUGGGGUGCUCGAGUGGCGAACGGGUGAGUAACACGUGAGUAACCUGCCCUUGACUUUGGGAUAACUUCAGGAAACUGGGGCUAAUACCGGAUAGGAGCUCCUGCUGCAUGGUGGGGGUUGGAAAGUUUCGGCGGUUGGGGAUGGACUCGCGGCUUAUCAGCUUGUUGGUGGGGUAGUGGCUUACCAAGGCUUUGACGGGUAGCCGGCCUGAGAGGGUGACCGGCCACAUUGUGACUGAGAUACGGCCCAGACUCCUACGGGAGGCAGCAGUGGGGAAUAUUGCACAAUGUGCGGAAGCCUGAUGCAGCAACGCCGCGUGCGGGAUGACGGCCGUCGGGUUGUAAACCGCUUUCGCCUGUGACGAAGCGUGAGUGACGGUAAUGGGUAAAGAAGCACCGGCUAACUACGU
This 467-nucleotide ribosomal RNA is filed under the name uncultured bacterium. RNAcentral's name for it is "partial 16S ribosomal RNA". It matches the Rfam family "Bacterial small subunit ribosomal RNA", at positions 28 to 506 of the family's 1533-position model. The record is from RNAcentral.